UAGUCCACGCCGUAAACGAUGAAUGCUAGUUGUUGGGAUUUUUCUCAGUGACGAAGUUAACGCAAUAAGCAUUCCGCCUGGGGAGUACGGCCGCAAGGUUAAAACUCAAAGGAAUUGACGGGGGGCCUGCACAAGCGGUGGAGCAUGUGGUUUAAUUCGACGCAACGCGCAGAACCUUACCAGCUUUUGACAUCCUGGUCGCGGAUUUGGGAGACCAUUUCCCUCAGUUCGGCUGGACCAGUGACAGGUGCUGCAUGGCUGUCGUCAGCUCGUGUCGUGAGAUGUUGGGUUAAGUCCCGCAACGAGCGCAACCCUCAUCCUUAGUUGCCAGCAUUUAGUUGGGCACUCUAAGGAAACUGCCGGUGAUAAGCCGGAGGAAGGUGGGGAUGACGUCAAGUCCUCAUGGCCCUUACAAGCUGGGCUACACACGUGCUACAAUGGCGAUGACAGUGAGCAGCUAACCCGCGAGGGCAAGCUAAUCUCUAAAAGUCGUCUCAGUUC
Molecule: ribosomal RNA, 501 nt
Filed under: uncultured bacterium
Lineage: Bacteria
Description: bacterial SSU rRNA
Rfam family: Bacterial small subunit ribosomal RNA
Source: RNAcentral